AACUAUUUUAAAAGGUGUCUUGAAAACACCGAUAAGAAAAUUUUUCUAGUAGUUU
This 55-nucleotide transfer RNA is filed under the name Calanus finmarchicus. RNAcentral describes it as "tRNA-Ser". The record is from RNAcentral. Lineage: Eukaryota; Metazoa; Arthropoda; Copepoda; Calanoida; Calanidae.